CCAUACGGGUUGAAGCAUGACCGUAAGGACAUGUGGACAGUAUGGGAGUGAGAAUGUUGGCAUGAGUAGCGAGAUGUGGGUGAGAAUCCCACAGGCCGUAAACCCAAGGUUUCCAGGGGAAGGUUCGGCCGCCCUGGGUUAGUCGGGACCUAAGCUGAGGCCGAAAGGCGUAGGUGAUGGACAACAGGUUGAUAUUCCUGUACUACCGAUAACCGUUUGAGAGAUGGGAUGACACAGUAGGAUAAGCUAAGCACA
This 255-nucleotide ribosomal RNA is filed under the name Clostridioides difficile. RNAcentral's name for it is "partial 23S ribosomal RNA". It matches the Rfam family "Bacterial large subunit ribosomal RNA", at positions 1241 to 1495 of the family's 2925-position model. The record is from RNAcentral. Lineage: Bacteria; Bacillati; Bacillota; Clostridia; Peptostreptococcales; Peptostreptococcaceae.